Molecule: ribosomal RNA, 377 nt
Filed under: uncultured bacterium
Lineage: Bacteria
Description: bacterial SSU rRNA
Rfam family: Bacterial small subunit ribosomal RNA
Source: RNAcentral
UAAGACAGAGGUGCCAAGCGUUAGGCGGAAUCACUGGGCUUAAAGCGUGUGUAGGCGGAUCGUUAAGUACCUUGUGAAAUCCCACGGCUCAACCGUGGAACUGCUCGGUAUACUGGCGGUCUUGAGCCACCUAGGGGCAACUGGAACAAGCGGUGGAGCGGUGAAAUGCGUAGAUAUCGCUUGGAACGCCAACGGUGAAAACAGGUUGCUGGGGGUGUGCUGACGCUGAGACACGAAAGCCAGGGGAGCGAACGGGAUUAGAUACCCCGGUAGUCCUGGCCCUAAACGAUGAAUGCUUGGUGUGGCGGGUAUCGAUCCCUGCCGUGCCGAAGCUAACGCAUUAAGCAUUCCGCCUGGGGAGUACGGUCGCAAGGCUG